AGGUAAAUCCGGGAUUCUAAGGCCGAGAGCUGAUGACGAGUUAACUUUUAGUUAACGAAGUGGUUGAUGCCMUGCUUCCARGAAAAGCYUCUAAGCUUCAGRUWACMAGKMAYCGUACCCCAAACCGACACAGGUGGUYGGGUAGAGAAUACCAAGGCGCUUGAGAGAACUCGGGUGAAGGAACUAGGCAAAAUGGCACCGUAACUUCGGGAGAAGGUGCGCCGGUGAGGGUGAAGGACUUGCUCCGUAAGCUCAUGCCGGUCGAAGAUACCAGGCCGCUGCGACUGUUUAUUAAAAACACAGCACUCUGCAAACACGAAAGUGGACGUAUAGGGUGUGACGCCUGCCCGGUGCYGGAAGGUUAAUUGAUGGGGUUAGCKWAMGCGAAGCUCUUGAUCGAAGCCCCRGUAAACGGCGGCCGUAACUAUAACGGUCCUAAGGUAGCGAAAUUCCUUGUCGGGUAAGUUCCGACCUGCACGAAUGGCRUAAYGAUGGSGGCGCUGUCUCCASCMGAGRCUCAGUGAAAUYGAAAUCGCYGUGAAGAUGCAGUGUAUCCGCGGCUAGACGGAAAGACCCCGUGAACCUUUACUAUAGCUUUGCACUGGACUUUGAAUUUGCUUGUGUAGGAUAGGUGGGAGGCUUUGAAGCGUGGACGCYAGUUCGCGUGGAGCCAACCUUGAAAUACCACCCUGGYWWSUUUGAGGUUCUAACUYAGGUCCGUUAUCCGGAUCGRGGACAGUGYAUGGUGGGUAGUUU
This 756-nucleotide ribosomal RNA is filed under the name Staphylococcus aureus. Its description in RNAcentral is "partial 23S ribosomal RNA". It matches the Rfam family "Bacterial large subunit ribosomal RNA", at positions 1535 to 2271 of the family's 2925-position model. Lineage: Bacteria; Bacillati; Bacillota; Bacilli; Caryophanales; Staphylococcaceae. The record is from RNAcentral.